This 277-nucleotide ribosomal RNA is filed under the name uncultured bacterium. Its description in RNAcentral is "partial 16S ribosomal RNA". It matches the Rfam family "Bacterial small subunit ribosomal RNA", at positions 506 to 784 of the family's 1533-position model. The record is from RNAcentral.
UGCCAGCAGCCGCGGUAAUACGGAGGGGGCUAGCGUUGUUCGGAAUUACUGGGCGUAAAGCGCGCGUAGGCGGCGCAUCGAGUUAGGCGUGAAAGGCCCGGGCUUAACCUGGGAACUGCGCUUAAUACUGGUGUGCUAGAGUCCGGAAGGGGGGCGGAAUUCCCAGUGUAGAGGUGAAAUUCGUAGAUAUUGGGAAGAACACCGGUGGCGAAGGCGGCCACCUGGUCCGGAACUGACGCUGAGGUGCGAAAGCGUGGGGAGCAAACAGGAUUAGAUA